CUUUCGUUCUUCUUAGUAGUUCCUUCUCCUUCUUCUGGGGGCCAUCAUCAUCUUCACUAUCUCCUUCCUCUUUAUUCCCUACCGUUUGUUUCAGUCCAUGGCCAGAACGUCUCCACGAGGUGGUCGGUCGGGAGAGCCGACUGACGACACUCGAUCGACCCCGAAAGUGGAGAUUUCUUCACUUUCGGGGCCGAACGUCGAUCGGCUCCGGGAGCAAUAC
This 220-nucleotide long non-coding RNA is filed under the name Elaeis guineensis (African oil palm). RNAcentral's name for it is "long non-coding RNA (EGUI_LNC063509)". The record is from RNAcentral. Lineage: Eukaryota; Viridiplantae; Streptophyta; Magnoliopsida; Arecales; Arecaceae.